RNAcentral lists this ribosomal RNA (499 nucleotides) under uncultured bacterium. RNAcentral describes it as "bacterial SSU rRNA". It matches the Rfam family "Bacterial small subunit ribosomal RNA", at positions 28 to 573 of the family's 1533-position model. The record is from RNAcentral.
AACGAACGCUGGCGGCAGGCUUAACACAUGCAAGUCGAACGCAUCCUUCGGGAUGAGUGGCAGACGGGUGAGUAACACGUGGGAACCUACCCAAAGGUACGGAAUAACACAGGGAAACUUGUGCUAAUACCGUAUGUGCCCUUCGGGGGAAAGAUUUAUCGCCUUUGGAUGGGCCCGCGUCGGAUUAGCUAGUUGGUGGGGUAAUGGCCUACCAAGGCGACGAUCCGUAGCUGGUCUGAGAGGAUGAUCAGCCACACUGGGACUGAGACACGGCCCAGACUCCUACGGGAGGCAGCAGUGGGGAAUAUUGGACAAUGGGCGCAAGCCUGAUCCAGCCAUGCCGCGUGAGUGAUGAAGGCCUUAGGGUUGUAAAGCUCUUUCAGCUGGGAAGAUAAUGACGGUACCAGCAGAAGAAGCCCCGGCUAACUUCGUGCCAGCAGCCGCGGUAAUACGAAGGGGGCUAGCGUUGUUCGGAAUCACUGGGCGUAAAGCGCACGUA